RNAcentral lists this ribosomal RNA (397 nucleotides) under uncultured bacterium. RNAcentral's name for it is "partial 16S ribosomal RNA". It matches the Rfam family "Bacterial small subunit ribosomal RNA", at positions 523 to 918 of the family's 1533-position model. The record is from RNAcentral.
AUACGUAGGGAGCAAGCGUUAUCCGGAUUUAUUGGGUGUAAAGGGUGCGUAGACGGGAAGUUAAGUUAGUUGUGAAAGCCCUCGGCUUAACCGAGGAAUAGCAUCGGAAACUGUCUUUCUUGAGUGCAGAAGAGGAGAGUGGAACUCCAUGUGUAGCGGUGGAAUGCGUAGAUAUAUGGAAGAACACCAGUGGCGAAGGCGGCUCUCGGGUCUGUAACUGACGCUGAGGCUCGAAAGCAUGGGUAGCGAACAGGAUUAGAUUCCCUGGUAGUCCAUGCUGUAAACGAUGAGUGCUAAGUGUUGGGAGGUUUCCGCCUCUCAGUGCUGCAGCUAACGCAUUAAGCACUCCGCCUGGGGAGUACGACCGCAAGGUCAAAACUCAAAUGAAUUGACGGGG